Molecule: long non-coding RNA, 311 nt
Organism: Betta splendens (Siamese fighting fish)
Lineage: Eukaryota; Metazoa; Chordata; Actinopteri; Anabantiformes; Osphronemidae
Exons: 3
Source: RefSeq, a predicted model, not a curated record
GUCACACCAUGAAACCAAUCUUCCAGCAGUGAAACAAACACCAAGCAAACAGCCUGGAGCAUGUGAGCGGAGGAGACUGAAACACAAGGGACGCGCUGCACUCGCGGCCCGACAGCUGCCUUCGUGUGGAAACACUGGGACGGUUCCGUCCAGUCUUCGAUCCAAAGGGCGUCCUCUUCUCUGGUGUGAACGACUGAAACGUCCUGGAUGGUGAUGUUGGAGAAAGACUGCGCUCUAAACCUCCUCGUCUGUUGAAACCUGACGUGGCGAGAACUGAAGAAUCCUGGUAGAAGAUCAAACGUCUUCACGUC